RNAcentral lists this ribosomal RNA (279 nucleotides) under uncultured bacterium. RNAcentral's name for it is "partial 16S ribosomal RNA". It matches the Rfam family "Bacterial small subunit ribosomal RNA", at positions 506 to 784 of the family's 1533-position model. The record is from RNAcentral.
UGCCAGCCGCCGCGGUAAUACGGAGGGGGCUAGCGUUGUUCGGAAUUAUUGGGCGUAAAGGGCGCGUAGGCGGUCAGACAAGUUGGUGGUGAAAUCCCUCGGCUCAACCGGGGAACUGCCCCCAAAACUGUCUGACUUGAGUCCCGGAGAGGGUGGCGGAAUUCCCAGUGUAGCGGUGAAAUGCGUAGAUAUUGGGAGGAACACCAGUGGCGAAGGCGGUCACCUGGACGGGUACUGACGCUGAGAUGCGAAAGCGUGGGGAGCGAACAGGAUUAGAUA